AAAUUAGCCCAAAAAACUAAAAGGUUUUUUGGGCUAAUUUAUGAU
Molecule: unclassified non-coding RNA, 45 nt
Filed under: Capnocytophaga canimorsus
Lineage: Bacteria; Pseudomonadati; Bacteroidota; Flavobacteriia; Flavobacteriales; Flavobacteriaceae
Description: RbcL_stabil
Source: RNAcentral